Portunus trituberculatus (swimming crab) is the source of this 603-nucleotide long non-coding RNA. RefSeq lists it as uncharacterized. The record is from RefSeq and is a predicted model, not a curated record. The transcript is spliced from 3 exons. Lineage: Eukaryota; Metazoa; Arthropoda; Malacostraca; Decapoda; Portunidae.
CUGUUUUUUGUCCACUAGUGGACCAAAGAUUGGAACUUUGGUCGAGGGGUUUUGCAAAACAUUGGUCAAGUGUCCAGGCGACCAAAGCUACCGCCUUGUAUUUUAAAUUUCCAAAUGUAAAAAGAAGCUAACUGUAAUUAAAUUUAUUUCAGUCUAUUUACCAUGUCAAAUUUUUUUGAUGGUACAACAAAGCUUUUCUUAUGCUAUAUUGAGCAUACGUUUUAAUUUUUUAAGUCUACUGUAGUCGCCUUGUGAGUUCACGCCAAACAUCAACAACAGCCUAAUCGACUCGUCACAUCUCUACUUCACUGACUAAAUUUGGUACCAUGGCUGCAUUAGAAAAAAUCAUAGAUGAAGAAAUGUAUGAAAUGGAAGAAUUGUGACGAGUGAGGAUUCCACGCAUUGUACCUAAAGAUCGCAGUGACCCAUUUCAUUAUCUUUCUGGUGAAGAAUUCCUUGAGCGUUUUCGUCUGCCAAAGGAUGCUGUAUGAGACCUCAUUGAAGAAGUUAGGCCACGUACACAUGUGGACAGGCUUGGCACAGGAUAUGGCAUUCCUCUGCAUUUGAAGAUGCUAGUUACCUUGCGGUACCUAGCCACGGAAG